RNAcentral lists this ribosomal RNA (254 nucleotides) under uncultured prokaryote. RNAcentral describes it as "partial 16S ribosomal RNA". It matches the Rfam family "Bacterial small subunit ribosomal RNA", at positions 524 to 776 of the family's 1533-position model. The record is from RNAcentral.
UACGGAGGAUCCAAGCGUUAUCCGGAAUUACUGGGCGUAAAGAGUUGCGUAGGUGGCAAUAUAAGUUGGUAGUGAAAGCGUGAGGCUCAACCUCAUAAACAUUAUCAAAACUAUAUAGCUUGAGCAUGAGAGAGGUAGAUGGAAUUUCUAGUGUAGGAGUGAAAUCCGUAGAUAUUAGAAGGAACACCGAUGGCGUAGGCAGUCUACUGGCUCAUUGCUGACACUAAGGCACGAAAGCGUGGGGAGCGAACGGG